UUUGGACACUGGAAUAAUAUAAUCGAUUAUGCCAUCCAAAUAAUCGAUUAUUCUUGAACAGAAUCUUCCGAUUUUGUAACGGUAAAAGGAUAAUCGAUUAUGCAAAUCCAAUAAUCGGUUAUCCUUGCAUAAAAUCAGCAUAAUUGAUUGCCAAUUAAGCAACAGACAUCCACCAUUUAACCCCUAUAAAAAGAGGUCUUUUGAGCUGAUUUUAAACACACAACACCUCCCAAUAUUGAUAUACANNNNNNNNAUUGAUUGCCAAUUAAGCAACGGACAUCCACCCUUUAACCCCUAUAAAAAGAGGUCUUUUGAGAUGAUUUUAAACACACAACACCUCCCAAUAUUGAUUAACAUAUUGACAUUAUUUGAGCAUCAUUUUAGAGCUUUUGUGGAGCCAUUUGAGAGACAACUUUGAGUUGUUCAUAGA
This 430-nucleotide long non-coding RNA is filed under the name Nicotiana benthamiana. RNAcentral's name for it is "long non-coding RNA (NBEN_LNC030151)". Lineage: Eukaryota; Viridiplantae; Streptophyta; Magnoliopsida; Solanales; Solanaceae. The record is from RNAcentral.